This 2258-nucleotide long non-coding RNA is filed under the name Limulus polyphemus (Atlantic horseshoe crab). RNAcentral describes it as "uncharacterized LOC111089024". Lineage: Eukaryota; Metazoa; Arthropoda; Merostomata; Xiphosura; Limulidae. The record is from RNAcentral.
CCAACCGUAUUGCCACUUCGUUUCCUUAAGAACCUCCCCGACAUCGAUACCUUACCCCCCCCCCCGCAGAUUUUACUAGUGGAGCUAGGGAGUUUCCAGUCACUGGGGUGGUGGACAGGGGCUUUUCCUUCAGAGUGUUACAGUGAAUUUCUCCAUUCUUGGAGAGAAGGGCAAAGUUGGGGGCCUUCCUACUUGGGUCCCUGGAUGUUUUUUGCUAGAUAUUGGUAGGAGCAAAGCCAGCCUACGUGGGAGUCCAUCAUAAUACUGGUUCAGAUUUGAUGCAUGGCUAUCCCUUCUUUUUGAUCAAUAUCUGUUCAGUAUAUUGUGUAUGAAAGGAGGUCCACUGUCUCCUCAUAGUUCUGGACGAGGAGUGGUCUCAUCCUGGGUCCUUGGUUGAGCACAAUUGUUGCACGUCCUCCCCAUAAUUCUGGGAGCAAGUGGGAGGCUCCUUGCCCACUUGGUUAGGGAGAGAAGAUGAAUGUUCGUAAUUCAAGGCCGGAUGAGUUCUGUUCCUUUGUUAGAGUAUGGCAUACACAAUCUCAUCAUCCCAAGCCUGGGGUGUUGCUUUUUGAGCUUAUUCAGUUGGAGGAAAAGGUUUGCCUGCUUCAGUGUUUCUUACUUUCUCGUCAUGAUUCCGGUGGUUCAGAAUGCAACACUUUAUGACUACAGGUUGAGAUCCAAUCAAAAGUACAUCUAUAUAUUAUGUUGUGAACCAAUUGCCCUACCCCAUAAUAUUGGAUAUGGUGACCAAAACCCCUUAUUUCCAACCCCAAGUAGUGGAACCUCGGGUGUCUAGUUGGAGCUGGCCUAUAGUGAUGAUUACUCAUGUACAGUUCCACCCUUGAUACAGGAACUAAAUUCAGGGUGAAGAACAUACCUGUUCUGGAUGUAGUGCGGUUCUCCCACUUGGGUACCACUCUUAUUUUGAUACACCCAUCAUCUGUGUAGACGCUUUCUCACCUGCCCUGCCAUCUUCUCAGUGUGGGAUUCUAGCCAUAAGUGGGAGUGGAUGUAUGUAUGUUUUGGAAGUUAACAUUUUCCUUAAUUGAAAAUGUAUUUCCCAUCAUACUUACUUCCUCUCACACUUUCCAACUCUUCCUCCCCAUUAAGAGCUGGUGUUAGAGACUGGGAUUGAGUCAGUCUUGAAAAAGUGAUAAAACUAUCUGAAUGAGGUGCUUAUGUACAGUGAUGGGAUGGAAGGUGCAUUGACAUAGGUGGAGAGUAUCACAAGACAAAUAUUGCCAAGGACAGUUGAGUAGGGGUAUGAAAGACUGGAGCAAGCAAGAAAAAAUCAGAACAAUGCUUGGAUGGGCAAAGAUGAAACCCUAGCAGUUGAAUAAUAGCUACAAGUGUGAGAGGAGGUGAGGUAAGUAUGAUUGGAAAUACAUUUUCAAUUUCAGAAAAUGUUAACUUUUAUCCACUGACUUACCUACAGUUUGGUUAUAGAGUGGAAUCAAAGCUUGUAAAGUAAGUUGUUUGAAAAGUUAUACUUUGGAUAUUUUAAGUACUUCAAUAAUUAUACUGAAGUGUUGUUAUUUUAUAUUGUUAGUGCAGUAGCUAUAUUAAAAAUAAUUAAGCAUUUUAAGUAUGUUUACUUACAUUGGCUUUACUUUCAGAUCUCAUUAAAAGGAGUCUCAUUUGAUGAUGUUUUUCCAAUCAAUUUACAAAACAUCCUGAAAUUAGGUGCCAAGAUUAAUUGAAUGGUAUCGUUAACUCUUAAAAUAUACCAGUGUCAGUGCAACAAUAUUUUUAAGUUGUGAUAAAUACUGAGGCAUAUUUUAUUAUGUAUUUUAAAUCUUUCUCCGUCCUUUAUUAUUACACAUGCGUCCAUCUAUUUAACUUCUCAUUUUAUAAAGGAAUUUAUUAAAGUGUGAUGCAGGUUCUAGAGGUUGUAGUCACAGUGCUGCAUUGAGUUGUUUUAACCUACAUAAAGAUUACUUUUGAUAGUAAUGUUAAUAUGUAUGUCAUAUCAAUUGCCUAUAUAGUAUAUAAUAAUUAUAACCACCCUAAUUUUGUUGUUUUUUAUGCCUUUAAAGCUUCAGUAAUACAGACAUUAUCAUUUAGUUUUAUAAACAGUGUUUGUUGUUGUACAGAAUUUUUCUUUCUUUUUUACUAGUAAUGAAAUAAGCCUGGUAUAAGUUAGGACUGACAUGUGGACUAACGUGUUUGUUGUAUAAAAUUUGGUAUGGAUACUUUUUUGUAUUGUCACAUACAUGAAAAAGACUAACAUUUUAAAUAAAAUAUAUUUGUACCUUUCA